RNAcentral lists this ribosomal RNA (489 nucleotides) under uncultured bacterium. Its description in RNAcentral is "partial 16S ribosomal RNA". It matches the Rfam family "Bacterial small subunit ribosomal RNA", at positions 30 to 507 of the family's 1533-position model. The record is from RNAcentral.
UUGAACGCUGGCGGCAGGCCUAACACAUGCAAGUCGAACGGUAACAGGAAGAAGCUUGCUUCUUUGCUGACGAGUGGCGGACGGGUGAGUAAUGUCUGGGAAACUGCCUGGUGGAGGGGGAUAACUACUGGAAACGGUAGCUAAUACCGCAUAACGUCGCAAGACCAAAGAGGGGGACCUUCGGGCCUCUUGCCAUCGGAUGUGCCCAGAUGGGAUUAGCUAGUAGGUGGGGUAACGGCUCACCUAGGCGACGAUCCCUAGCUGGUCUGAGAGGAUGACCAGCCACACUGGAACUGAGACACGGUCCAGACUCCUACGGGAGGCAGCAGUGGGGAAUAUUGCACAAUGGGCGCAAGCCUGAUGUAGCCAUGCCGCGUGUAUGAAGAAGGCCUUCGGGUUGUAAAGUACUUUCAGCGGGGAGGAAGGGAGUAAAGUUAAUACCUUUGCUCAUUGACGUUACCCGCAGAAGAAGCACCGGCUAACUCCGUG